Cyprinus carpio carpio is the source of this 211-nucleotide long non-coding RNA. The record is from Ensembl. NCBI's taxonomy places the organism in Eukaryota, Metazoa, Chordata, Actinopteri, Cypriniformes, Cyprinidae.
GUCUGUGCCAGAAAUUCAUCCACUAAUUUAUUCAAGCCUUCUGAAAUAUUUAUGAUCAACGGGCAUAUGAUAUGCAAAUUAAAAGAGCUUCAUGUCUAAUCCUGAAGCUAAUUAGAAAGGUUCAUCAUCCAAUCCAGAAACAGAAGAUACAAGUACAUCACUCUACUGUUUUCGGGACCAUGAUUAGUCUGAGAAAAGAAGGUAAUAACAU